UACGUAGGGGGCAAGCGUUGUCCGGAUUUAUUGGGCGUAAAGAGCGUGUAGGCGGCCAAGCAGGUCCGCUGUGAAAACUCGAGGCUCAACCUCGAGACGUCGGUGGAAACCGUUUGGCUAGAGUCCGGAAGAGGAGAGUGGAAUUCCCGGUGUAGCGGUGAAAUGCGCAGAUAUCGGGAAGAACACCCGUGGCGAAGGCGGCUCUCUGGGAUGGUACUGACGCUGAGACGCGAAAGCGUGGGGAGCGAACAGG
RNAcentral lists this ribosomal RNA (253 nucleotides) under uncultured bacterium. Its description in RNAcentral is "partial 16S ribosomal RNA". It matches the Rfam family "Bacterial small subunit ribosomal RNA", at positions 524 to 776 of the family's 1533-position model. The record is from RNAcentral.